Long non-coding RNA from Selaginella moellendorffii, 585 nucleotides. RefSeq lists it as uncharacterized. The record is from RefSeq and is a predicted model, not a curated record. The transcript has 2 exons. NCBI's taxonomy places the organism in Eukaryota, Viridiplantae, Streptophyta, Lycopodiopsida, Selaginellales, Selaginellaceae.
CUCCACUCUAUAUACAUACCACUCUCUGUAGCUAUCUUUGCAGCAGCACAGUUUAGUCCCUGCGUAGCAAAUCCCAUGGAGAAGGCAGCAAAGAUCACUUUUGUUCUCACACUCAUAGUUGCAAUUUCAUUUGCCUCACUCGAGUCCACCAAUGCUGUUGAGAUAGCUCCCAACACAAAGUUUGUGCCAGCUUCUUCUCUUCUCUCAUACUUCAGGAGCCUGAAAGAGCUGGAGUGCAUGCCGCACUCUCAAUGCUGCCCCGACUCCAAGCCCUGCCCAUCAGAGGACCAGGAGUGUAAGAUCUGUGCCCACACUUAUCCUGCACUGUGCUUCUGCACGGACAAACCUGAGCUUAACAAGCUGAUGCUGUAAUCUGGAGAUGGGCGACUUGCUGCACACCUUCUGACCUGAAGAAUGGAGUAAUAAAUGUUUUUAUGUGCUAAAACUAUGUGAUUUUGGGCAUUUUCCGCUUUGCAAAUGAUCUAGUAGUGGUUAUUUCUUUGAUAGCCACGACAUGUACUGUGUCAUUCACUACUGGUAAUAAUAAAAAAACUCUCAAGCUUGUUUGAGAGUUGACAACUACAA